AUUGAACGCUGGCGGCAGGCUUAACACAUGCAAGUCGAGCGGUAGCACAGGGGAGCUUGCUCCCUGGGUGACGAGCGGCGGACGGGUGAGUAAUGUCUGGGAAACUGCCUGAUGGAGGGGGAUAACUACUGGAAACGGUAGCUAAUACCGCAUAACGUCGCAAGACCAAAGAGGGGGACCUUCGGGCCUCUUGCCAUCAGAUGUGCCCAGAUGGGAUUAGCUAGUAGGUGGGGUAAUGGCUCACCUAGGCGACGAUCCCUAGCUGGUCUGAGAGGAUGACCAGCCACACUGGAACUGAGACACGGUCCAGACUCCUACGGGAGGCAGCAGUGGGGAAUAUUGCACAAUGGACGCAAGCCUGAUGCAGCCAUGCCGCGUGUGUGAAGAAGGCCUUCGGGUUGUAAAGCACUUUCAGCGAGGAGGAAGGUGGUGAGCUUAAUACGUUCAUCAAUUGACGUUACUCGCAGAAGAAGCACCGGCUAACUCCGUG
RNAcentral lists this ribosomal RNA (490 nucleotides) under uncultured bacterium. RNAcentral describes it as "partial 16S ribosomal RNA". It matches the Rfam family "Bacterial small subunit ribosomal RNA", at positions 30 to 507 of the family's 1533-position model. The record is from RNAcentral.